GGCCGGGUAGCUCAGGAGGUAAGAGCACUCGCCCUGUAAGCGAGGGGUCCCGGGUUCGAUUCCUGGUCUGUCUG
This 74-nucleotide transfer RNA is filed under the name Lingula anatina. It matches the Rfam family "tRNA". Rfam says of the family: Transfer RNA (tRNA) molecules are approximately 80 nucleotides in length. Their secondary structure includes four short double-helical elements and three loops (D, anti-codon, and T loops). Further hydrogen bonds mediate the characteristic L-shaped molecular structure. tRNAs have two regions of fundamental functional importance: the anti-codon, which is responsible for specific mRNA codon recognition, and the 3' end, to which the tRNAs corresponding amino acid is attached (by aminoacyl-tRNA synthetases). tRNAs cope with the degeneracy of the genetic code in two manners: having more than one tRNA (with a specific anti-codon) for a particular amino acid; and 'wobble' base-pairing, i.e. permitting non-standard base-pairing at the 3rd anti-codon position. The record is from Rfam by way of RNAcentral. Lineage: Eukaryota; Metazoa; Brachiopoda; Lingulata; Lingulida; Lingulidae.